GAUGAACGCUGGCGGCGUGCCUAACACAUGCAAGUCGAGCGAACGGACGAGAAGCUUGCUUCUCUGAUGUUAGCGGCGGACGGGUGAGUAACACGUGGAUAACCUACCUAUAAGACUGGGAUAACUUCGGGAAACCGGAGCUAAUACCGGAUAAUAUUUUGAACCGCAUGGUUCAAAAGUGAAAGACGGUCUUGCUGUCACUUAUAGAUGGAUCCGCGCUGCAUUAGCUAGUUGGUAAGGUAACGGCUUACCAAGGCAACGAUGCAUAGCCGACCUGAGAGGGUGAUCGGCCACACUGGAACUGAGACACGGUCCAGACUCCUACGGGAGGCAGCAGUAGGGAAUCUUCCGCAAUGGGCGAAAGCCUGACGGAGCAACGCCGCGUGAGUGAUGAAGGUCUUCGGAUCGUAAAACUCUGUUAUUAGGGAAGAACAUAUGUGUAAGUAACUGUGCACAUCUUGACGGUACCUAAUCAGAGAGCCACGGCUAACUACGUG
This 497-nucleotide ribosomal RNA is filed under the name uncultured bacterium. Its description in RNAcentral is "partial 16S ribosomal RNA". It matches the Rfam family "Bacterial small subunit ribosomal RNA", at positions 28 to 507 of the family's 1533-position model. The record is from RNAcentral.